UCUAGCCAUGGGCAGGUUGAAGGUUGGGUAACACUAACUGGAGGACCGAACCGACUAAUGUUGAAAAAUUAGCGGAUGACUUGUGGCUGGGGGUGAAAGGCCAAUCAAACCGGGAGAUAGCUGGUUCUCCCCGAAAGCUAUUUAGGUAGCGCCUCGUGAAUUCAUCUCCGGGGGUAGAGCACUGUUUCGGCAAGGGGGUCAUCCCGACUUACCAACCCGAUGCAAACUGCGAAUACCGGAGAAUGUUAUCACGGGAGACACACGGCGGGUGCUAACGUCCGUCGUGAAGAGGGAAACAACCCAGACCGCCAGCUAAGGUCCCAAAGUCAUGGUUAAGUGGGAAACGAUGUGGGAAGGCCCAGACAGCCAGGAUGUUGGCUUAGAAGCAGCCAUCAUUUAAAGAAAGCGUAAUAGCUCACUGGUCGAGUCGGCCUGCGCGGAAGAUGUAACGGGGCUAAACCAUGCACCGAAGCUGCGGCAGCGACGCUUAUGCGUUGUUGGGUAGGGGAGCGUUCUGUAAGCCUGUGAAGGUGUGCUGUGAGGCAUGCUGGAGGUAUCAGAAGUGCGAAUGCUGACAUAAGUAACGAUAAAGCGGGUGAAAAGCCCGCUCGCCGGAAGACCAAGGGUUCCUGUCCAACGUUAAUCGGGGCAGGGUGAGUCGACCCCUAAGGCGAGGCCGAAAGGCGUAGUCGAUGGGAAACAGGUUAAUAUUCCUGUACUUGGUGUUACUGCGAAGGGGGGACGGAGAAGGCUAUGUUGGCCGGGCGACGGUUGUCCCGGUUUAAGCGUGUAGGCUGGUUUUCCAGGCAAAUCCGGAAAAUCAAGGCUGAGGCGUGAUGACGAGGCACUACGGUGCUGAAGCAACAAAUGCCCUGCUUCCAGGAAAAGCCUCUAAGCAUCAGGUAACAUCAAAUCGUACCCCAAACCGACACAGGUGGUCAGGUAGAGAAUACCAAGGCGCUUGAGAGAACUCGGGUGAAGGAACUAGGCAAAAUGGUGCCGUAACUUCGGGAGAAGGCACGCUGAUAUGUAGGUGAAGUCCCUCGCGGAUGGAGCUGAAAUCAGUCGAAGAUACCAGCUGGCUGCAACUGUUUAUUAAAAACACAGCACUGUGCAAACACGAAAGUGGACGUAUACGGUGUGACGCCUGCCCGGUGCCGGAAGGUUAAUUGAUGGGGUCAGCGCAAGCGAAGCUCUUGAUCGAAGCCCCGGUAAACGGCGGCCGUAACUAUAACGGUCCUAAGGUAGCGAAAUUCCUUGUCGGGUAAGUUCCGACCUGCACGAAUGGCGUAAUGAUGGCCAGGCUGUCUCCACCCGAGACUCAGUGAAAUUGAACUCGCUGUGAAGAUGCAGUGUACCCGCGGCAAGACGGAAAGACCCCGUGAACCUUUACUAUAGCUUGACACUGAACAUUGAGCCUUGAUGUGUAGGAUAGGUGGGAGGCUUAGAAGUGUGGACGCCAGUCUGCAUGGAGCCGACCUUGAAAUACCACCCUUUAAUGUUUGAUGUUCUAACGUUGACCCGUAAUCCGGGUUGCGGACAGUGUCUGGUGGGUAGUUUGACUGGGGCGGUCUCCUCCUAAAGAGUAACGGAGGAGCACGAAGGUUGGCUAAUCCUGGUCGGACAUCAGGAGGUUAGUGCAAUGGCAUAAGCCAGCUUGACUGCGAGCGUGACGGCGCGAGCAGGUGCGAAAGCAGGUCAUAGUGAUCCGGUGGUUCUGAAUGGAAGGGCCAUCGCUCAACGGAUAAAAGGUACUCCGGGGAUAACAGGCUGAUACCGCCCAAGAGUUCAUAUCGACGGCGGUGUUUGGCACCUCGAUGUCGGCUCAUCACAUCCUGGGGCUGAAGUAGGUCCCAAGGGUAUGGCUGUUCGCCAUUUAAAGUGGUACGCGAGCUGGGUUUAGAACGUCGUGAGACAGUUCGGUCCCUAUCUGCCGUGGGCGCUGGAGAACUGAGGGGGGCUGCUCCUAGUACGAGAGGACCGGAGUGGACGCAUCACUGGUGUUCGGGUUGUCAUGCCAAUGGCACUGCCCGGUAGCUAAAUGCGGAAGAGAUAAGUGCUGAAAGCAUCUAAGCACGAAACUUGCC
This 2087-nucleotide ribosomal RNA is filed under the name Escherichia coli. Its description in RNAcentral is "partial 23S ribosomal RNA". It matches the Rfam family "Bacterial large subunit ribosomal RNA", at positions 729 to 2798 of the family's 2925-position model. The record is from RNAcentral. Lineage: Bacteria; Pseudomonadati; Pseudomonadota; Gammaproteobacteria; Enterobacterales; Enterobacteriaceae.